RNAcentral lists this long non-coding RNA (1141 nucleotides) under Anas platyrhynchos platyrhynchos (common mallard). RNAcentral describes it as "lncRNA (ENSAPLG00000022718.1)". Lineage: Eukaryota; Metazoa; Chordata; Aves; Anseriformes; Anatidae. The record is from RNAcentral.
CUUAACUGCAUUAAUAGCAUGCCCUCAUGUUGGUUUGUGGCAGUUCUUCUGCAACGUACCCUACGUUAGAACACACCUCAGAAAUAGGUUUGUAUGGGUUGCCACAACUUUGAAACCAGGACAGUACUCUCUGACUGCAUAUGUUGUGGAGGCUUCUUGUUAAAGUGGAUGAAACUUCUGGUCUGAACAUCCUCAAUUGUGAGGAUGUGAGAAAUCCAGACUGCUUCUCCCAUUAUGCUAAAAAUGUACAGGAGAGAAGAGAAGGAAGGAAGGGAAAGGAAAGAAAGGAGAAAAAAAAAAAAAAAGAGAGAGAGAGAGAAAGAACCUCUUACAAAUGUAAUUCUCUCUUGUGUAAAUAGCCACAGUCCUGUUUCCUCACCCAGAUCUAGGUCUUUCAGGCCCAGACCAGACCAAAUUCUGGCCAUUCGAGAAGCUUUAAAAGCCACUUCCUCUUGUAGCCCCUCCAGACUGCUGAGUUGUCACUUCACCUGUGCACACAAUACAACAUUAGACAGAAGUAAAUGAACCAUUAUGCUUCAUACCUAUCUAAGACUUGGCCUUCUUUCCUAGCCGAUCUUGUUUGACCAACAGUAGGACAAAGUGGUCGUAGGAAGCAGGAAAGGUCUUAAAGUCAGUGGGAUAACCGUAGUGGUACGGCCCUACGUAAAAACAAAAGCAGAUUAGAGAAGAGAGUGCUCUAGAGCACACUAUGAGGUAGAUUAUAACUGGUUAGCGAAGAAACAAUCUAACAUUGCUUCUGCAUUAUGUCUUUGCAAAGGAUUAAAUGAUUCCAUCAUUCUUGUCUUCCAGAACAAAACGGUCUGCAGGAUCCUGGUUGACUGCUCAGACUAGCAGAGGAUCCUUGGCCCAAACUGACAACCUUCAUUCAAAGCCACUAUCUGAAGGGAAGAGAGACGAAUCUAAAGAAUCUCUGUCAAAUGUGUUCAGAAAUGAUGCAGCUGAUCAGCAGUUUAACCUUGAAGCUGCAAUUAAAAAUGUUGGCAAAAUGUCUGAUGAGCUAAAGAAACUAAAUGUGGAAAGCCAGCUGCUGCUUUGUGACCUUAUUUUGAAUUUCAACCAUCCCCUGAAGGCCAAAGAUUUAAGAGAAGCUGAAGAAAAAACUCGGAGUUUGACAGAUUAA